Molecule: ribosomal RNA, 253 nt
Filed under: uncultured bacterium
Lineage: Bacteria
Description: partial 16S ribosomal RNA
Rfam family: Bacterial small subunit ribosomal RNA
Source: RNAcentral
UACGGAGGGUGCAAGCGUUGUCCGGAAUCACUGGGUGUAAAGGGUGUGUAGGCGGGGCAGUAAGUCAGGGGUGAAAGCCUACGGCUUAACCGUAGAAUUGCCUUUGAUACUGCUGGUCUUGAGUCCUGGAGAGGUCGCUGGAAUUCGUGGUGUAGCGGUGAAAUGCGUAGAUAUCACGAGGAACACCAGAGGUGUAGACGGGCGACUGGACAGGUACUGACGCUGAGGCACGAAAGCGUGGGGAGCAAACAGG